RNAcentral lists this ribosomal RNA (716 nucleotides) under uncultured bacterium. Its description in RNAcentral is "bacterial SSU rRNA". It matches the Rfam family "Bacterial small subunit ribosomal RNA", at positions 777 to 1500 of the family's 1533-position model. The record is from RNAcentral.
AUUAGAUACCCUGGGUAGUCCACGCAGUAAACGAUGAAUACUAAUUGUCCGGGACGAAUGAGUCCUGGGUGAUACAGCGAAAGCGUUAAGUAUUCCACCUGGGGAGUACGCCGGCAACGGUGAAACUCAAAGGAAUUGACGGGGGCCCGCACAAGCGGAGGAACAUGUGGUUUAAUUCGAUGAUACGCGAGGAACCUUACCCGGGCUCAAACGGCACAGGAAUACUUUUGAAAGGAGGUAGCCCUACGGGGUCUGUGCCGAGGUGCUGCAUGGUUGUCGUCAGCUCGUGCCGUGAGGUGUCGGCUUAAGUGCCAUAACGAGCGCAACCCCCACCGUCAGUUGCCAGCAGGUAAGGCUGGGGACUCUGACGGGACUGCCAGCGCAAGCUGUGAGGAAGGCGGGGAUGACGUCAAAUCAGCACGGCCCUUACGUCCGGGGCGACACACGUGUUACAAUGGCAGGUACAGAGAGAAGCCAGGUGGCGACACCGAGCGGAACUUCAAAGCCUGUCUCAGUUCGGAUCGGAGUCUGCAACCCGACUCCGUGAAGCUGGAUUCGCUAGUAAUCGCGCAUCAGCCAUGGCGCGGUGAAUACGUUCCCGGGCCUUGUACACACCGCCCGUCAAGCCAUGGAAGCCGGGAGUGCCUGAAGUGUGCGACCGCAAGGAGCGCCCUAAGGUAAAACCGGUGACUGGAGCUAAGUCGUAAGCAGGUACC